RNAcentral lists this long non-coding RNA (244 nucleotides) under Lepisosteus oculatus (spotted gar). Its description in RNAcentral is "lncRNA (ENSLOCG00000022672.1)". Lineage: Eukaryota; Metazoa; Chordata; Actinopteri; Semionotiformes; Lepisosteidae. The record is from RNAcentral.
CCGGCAGUGAGGAAGAGAGGAGCUGUCAGAAGGGGAAACUGGGAAUGCAUUUGAAGCUUUGCAAAGAUCCCAACUCUGUGACUUCACUCUGGUGUUAAAUGGCUCCCCGGCAGUCUGGAGAAGGAGCUGCUCGCUGCCUUUCGCACCGAUAGAGACCAAGCAGCUUGUGCUUGUCACAGGGAUUCCCAUCGAAACUGACCCAGAAGAAAAGCACGGCGUUUAUUUCCUCGAAUUACCAGAGGAG